UACAGAGGUCUCGAGCGUUAGGCGGAAUCACUGGGCUUAAAGCGUGUGUAGGCGGAUCGUUAAGUACCUUGUGAAAUUCCACGGCUUAACCGUGGAACUGCUUGGUAUACUGGCGGUCUUGAGCCAGCUAGGGGCUACCGGAACAAAUGGUGGAGCGGUGAAAUGCGUAGAUAUCAUUUGGAACGCCAAUGGUGAAAACAGGUAGCUGGGGCUGUGCUGACGCUGAGACACGAAAGCCAGGGGAGCAAAGGGG
RNAcentral lists this ribosomal RNA (253 nucleotides) under uncultured bacterium. RNAcentral describes it as "partial 16S ribosomal RNA". It matches the Rfam family "Bacterial small subunit ribosomal RNA", at positions 524 to 776 of the family's 1533-position model. The record is from RNAcentral.